RNAcentral lists this ribosomal RNA (446 nucleotides) under uncultured bacterium. RNAcentral's name for it is "partial 16S ribosomal RNA". It matches the Rfam family "Bacterial small subunit ribosomal RNA", at positions 338 to 795 of the family's 1533-position model. The record is from RNAcentral.
CCUACGGGUGGCAGCAGUAGGGAAUUUUCGGCAAUGGGGGGAACCCUGACCGAGCAACGCCGCGUGAACGAAGAAGUUCUUCGUAAUGUAAAGUUCUUUUAGCAGGGAAGAAAGAGAAAUUUGACGGUACCUGAAGAAUAAGCUCCGGCAAACUACGUUCCAGCAGCCGCGGUAAUACGUAGGGAGCGAGCGUUAUCCGGAAUUAUUGGGCGAAAAGGGUGCGUAGAUGGCAUAGUAAGUCUUUUGUAAAAAUGCUGGGCUCAACCCAGUAGGGCAAAAGAUACUGCAAAGCUAGAGUAUGCCAGAGGCAAGUGGAACUACAUGUGUAGCGGUAAAAUGCGUAGAUAUAUGUAAGAACACCAGUGGCGAAGGCGGCUUGCUGGGUCGAUACUGACAUUGAGGCACGAAAGCGUGGGGAGCAAACAGGAUUAGAUACCCGGGUAGUC